CACGUAGGCACCAAGCGUUGUCCGGAUUUAUUGGGCGUAAAGAGCUCGUAGGCGGUUGAGUAAGUCGGGUGUGAAAACUCUGGGCUUAACCCAGAGCCGCCACCCGAUACUGCUCUGACUUGAGUUCGGUAGGGGAGCAGGGAAUUCCUAGUGUAGCGGUGAAAUGCGCAGAUAUUAGGAGGAACACCGGUGGCGAAGGCGCUGCUCUGGGCCGAUACUGACGCUGAGGAGCGAAAGCGUGGGUAGCAAACAGG
Molecule: ribosomal RNA, 254 nt
Filed under: uncultured bacterium
Lineage: Bacteria
Also listed under: 1 other name
Description: partial 16S ribosomal RNA
Rfam family: Bacterial small subunit ribosomal RNA
Source: RNAcentral